Molecule: ribosomal RNA, 492 nt
Filed under: uncultured bacterium
Lineage: Bacteria
Description: bacterial SSU rRNA
Rfam family: Bacterial small subunit ribosomal RNA
Source: RNAcentral
CGAGUGAACGCUGGCGGUAGGCCUAACACAUGCAAGUCGAACGGCAGCACAGGAGAGCUUGCUCUCUGGGUGGCGAGUGGCGGACGGGUGAGGAAUACAUCGGAAUCUACCUUUUCGUGGGGGAUAACGUAGGGAAACUUACGCUAAUACCCGCAUAAGACCUUCGGGUGAAAGCAGGGGACCUUCGGGCCUUGCGCGGAUAGAUGAGCCGAUGUCGGAUUAGCUUGUUGGCGGGUAAAAGCCCACCAAGGCGACGAUCCGUAGCUGGUCUGAGAGGAUGAUCAGCCACACUGGAACUGAGACACGGUCCAGACUCCUACGGGAGGCAGCAGUGGGGAAUAUUGGACAAUGGGCGCAAGCCUGAUCCAGCCAUACCGCGUGGGUGAAGAAGGCCUUCGGGUUGUAAAGCCCUUUUGUUGGGAAAGAAAACUUGCGGGCUAAUACCCAGCAAGUCUGACGGUACCCAAAGAAUAAGCACCGGCUAACUUCGUG